RNAcentral lists this ribosomal RNA (346 nucleotides) under uncultured fungus. Its description in RNAcentral is "SSU rRNA". It matches the Rfam family "Eukaryotic small subunit ribosomal RNA", at positions 20 to 370 of the family's 1831-position model. The record is from RNAcentral. Lineage: Eukaryota; Fungi.
GUAGUCAUAUGCUUGUCUCAAAGAUUAAGCCAUGCAUGUCUAAGUAUAAGCAAUCUAUACAGUGAAACUGCGGAUGGCUCAUUAAAUCAGUUAUCGUUUAUUUGAUAGUGCCUUACUACAUGGAUAACCGUGGUAAUUCUAGAGCUAAUACAUGCUAAAAACCCCGACCUCUGGAAGGGGUGUAUUUAUUAGAUAAAAAACCAAUGGCUUCGGCCUCUAUGGUGAAUCCUAAUAACUUCACGAAUCGCAUGGCCUUGCGCCGGCGAUGGUUCAUUCAAAUUUCUGCCCUAUCAACUUUCGAUGGUAGGAUAGUGGCCUACCAUGGUUGCAACGGGUAACGGGGAAU